Molecule: non-coding RNA, 24 nt
Filed under: Arabidopsis thaliana (thale cress)
Lineage: Eukaryota; Viridiplantae; Streptophyta; Magnoliopsida; Brassicales; Brassicaceae
Source: RNAcentral
CGUAUUUGAGGAGCGCUACGAGAG